This 492-nucleotide ribosomal RNA is filed under the name uncultured bacterium. Its description in RNAcentral is "bacterial SSU rRNA". It matches the Rfam family "Bacterial small subunit ribosomal RNA", at positions 31 to 518 of the family's 1533-position model. The record is from RNAcentral.
GAACGCUAGCGACAGGCCUAACACAUGCAAGUCGAGGGGCGAGCACAAGGAGCAAUCUGAGGUGGCGACCGGCGCACGGUGAGUAACACGUAUGCAACCUGCCUGUAAGCGGGGAAUAACCCGUUGAAAGACGGACUAAUACCGCAUAAUACUAAAUUACUGCAUGGUAAUUUAUUUAAACAUUUAUGGCUUACAGAUGGGCAUGCGCAUGAUUAGCUAGUUGGAGAGGUAACGGCUCCCCAAGGCAACGAUCAUUAGGGGUUCUGAGAGGAAGGUCCCCCACACUGGUACUGAGACACGGACCAGACUCCUACGGGAGGCAGCAGUGAGGAAUAUUGGUCAAUGGACGAGAGUCUGAACCAGCCAAGUCGCGUGCAGGAAGAAUGUCCUAUGGAUUGUAAACUGCUUUUGCAGGGGAAUAAAGUGCAUCACGUGUGAUGUUUUGUAUGUACUCUGCGAAUAAGGAUCGGCUAACUCCGUGCCAGCAGCAGC